This 641-nucleotide ribosomal RNA is filed under the name uncultured Pleospora. RNAcentral describes it as "partial 18S ribosomal RNA". The stretch from base 265 to 418 matches the Rfam family "5.8S ribosomal RNA". The record is from RNAcentral. Lineage: Eukaryota; Fungi; Ascomycota; Dothideomycetes; Pleosporales; Pleosporaceae.
CUUGGUCAUUUAGAGGAAGUAAAAGUCGUAACAAGGUCUCCGUAGGUGAACCUGCGGAGGGAUCAUUACACAAUAUGAAAGCGGGCUGGACUCCCCCCAGCAGUGCGUUGCUUUGCGGCGUGCGCUGUUGGGGCCAGCCUUGCUGAAUUAUUCACCCGUGUCUUUUGCGUACUUCUUGUUUCCUUGGUGGGUUCGCCCACCACAAGGACAAACCAUAAACCUUUUGUAAUUGCAAUCAGCGUCAGUAACAAUAAUAAUAAUUACAACUUUCAACAACGGAUCUCUUGGUUCUGGCAUCGAUGAAGAACGCAGCGAAAUGCGAUAAGUAGUGUGAAUUGCAGAAUUCAGUGAAUCAUCGAAUCUUUGAACGCACAUUGCGCCCUUUGGUAUUCCAAAGGGCAUGCCUGUUCGAGCGUCAUUUGUACCCUCAAGCUUUGCUUGGUGUUGGGCGUCUUGUCUCCAGUUCGCUGGGGACUCGCCUUAAAGUUAUUGGCAGCCGGCCUACUGGUUUCGGAGCGCAGCACAAGUCGCGCUCUCUUCCAGCCAAGGUCAGCAUCCACAAAGCCUUUUUUCAACUUUUGACCUCGGAUCAGGUAGGGAUACCCGCUGAACUUAAGCAUAUCAAUAAGCGGAGGACCGCC